CCUUGAUCCACUUGGCUACAUCCGCC
This 26-nucleotide transfer RNA is filed under the name Silene oenotriae. RNAcentral describes it as "partial tRNA-His". The record is from RNAcentral. Lineage: Eukaryota; Viridiplantae; Streptophyta; Magnoliopsida; Caryophyllales; Caryophyllaceae.